AAGACUUCACAAUGAGGAGAUAGCCAUGCGCAGGACAUUGAUCUAAGCCUCUCCCAAUUCUCUAGUAACCUCACUGGGCCAGGCAGGGUUCAAUAUACCUCUUCACCAGUGGCAUGGCUUCUGAUCACACUUGGUGCCACC
This 141-nucleotide long non-coding RNA is filed under the name Neogale vison (American mink). RNAcentral describes it as "Neovison vison (American mink) FTX transcript, XIST regulator conserved region 4 (ENSNVIG00000024806.1)". It matches the Rfam family "FTX transcript, XIST regulator conserved region 4". Lineage: Eukaryota; Metazoa; Chordata; Mammalia; Carnivora; Mustelidae. The record is from RNAcentral.